GCGAGACUCCACCCAGCCACUCCGAUAGGGCAAAAAACACGCCUCCCCUGCUCGGCCUCCUAGUGGAUGGCGGAGGCGAAGGCGGCGGCUGCUGUGGCGCUGCCGGGCAGCGACUGGGCGUCCCUAUUUCCCUUGCUCCCGACCUCCUCUCCCCAAAGUCCUUCCCCUUCCCAACCUGCUCCCCGUUCCCACGCUCUUCGCGACGACGAGCAGGGCAAGGCGGCCGGACGCGCCUCCCUCAGCCCCUCCCUUCCUCGACCUCCCUCCUCCUCUCCUCCUGCGUCCCCAAGGGCCGCGAGCCCCGCCGACCGGCUGGCCGCGCAGGACCGCUCGUACCAUGCUCACGCACGCGGCUGGGGGCUGCACGCACGGAUCCGCAUGCAGAGCAUGGGCCCGGCGCGGCUCUGGCCGCGAGGGGCGUGCAGCUCUGGCCGCUCGAACCACCGCGGCUCUCCUCUCUCGCCCCUCUCUCACCCUAGAUCCAGUACUCCAACCAUAAAAAUCGAAAGGAACGAAGCCCGGCCGCACCCCACCGGCUCGCGCCCCGACCCCCUCCACCGCCACCUCCCAGUCCGUCGCUGCGUCGCAUCGGGGAGGAGGAGGAUAUGGCCGCCACCGCCACCGCCGUCGCCUGCAGGCCGGGUCCUGCUCCUGCACGGCCAGCACCAGUGGCCGCGACAGCAGUGUGCGGUCGCGUCUAGGAAGGCGAUCACGGGAACGUCCGUCACCAGCUCGCAGCCACGCUGGUGACAUUCCCGUCGAGGGCGACCGCAUACGCACACCAUCCAACCCCUCCUACACCUCUACGGUGGGAUUCGGUAAGAAAGCAGAUGGAGGCGGGCGACGCCGGGGACAUGGACGGGAAGGUUGCACGCUGCCCUGGCAGCGGCAGCAGACGAGAAGCAGCUGCGAGCUCCACCUAGAAGUAGCCGCGGGAGCAAUGCCUGGCACGGCCUUUGGCUGAGCUCCCGUGCGCUGCCCGGAAAGCUCGCCCGCGCCGGCUGUGGAGUCUGCCCUAACGCUGCGGAGCUCCUCCCCCGUCCUCUAUCUCAUCUGGUCUGCAUCUGCCCCCCUUGUUUGUUUUUUAUUAUAUUUUUUGCAGCAGUGGCUCCCUUCAUUGGAUUGUGAGCAAGAGGGGAUCCUCGAUUGAUCUAUUUCCAUAUUUGCUGACAAGGACGCCGGUAAGCUCGUAGACCCACCGCUCGUCGUGAUUUAAUUUCUGGUGAUGAACCUGAUGGGAAAUAGGCUGUAUUGGUUGCUCGGCAUUGGUGCUACUUUGACGCUGAUGAUUUAGGUCUAGGGAACAACAUAGAAGGUAAAUCUUUGGUCUCCCACUAUUGAUCGAUUUGAAGUUGUCUUGGUUGAUUUUAUUUGUAUAAAGGAAACUUUUUAUGGAUAAAUUGAACCAAUCGGAAGCAGCCUUGGCAUUUAAGGCUAAAAAUUCAAUCUGGUUCUUCCCUGCAACAUAUGUUCUUCACAUUUUUCCCUAAGGUGAAGUACUCUAUAGAACUACUGGCAUAUGUGUAUGACAAAUUUUCUAGUUUUACCUCUUUCUAUUUUUCAUUUUGUCUUUUAGUAUUGUUGCGCGUAGACCCCCUAAACAGUAAUGACAUCCUUCCUACUUGAAGUCAAGUACAUUCAAUUAGGUAGCAAAAGAGAUGAAAAGAAGUGUGUGCUACCAAUGGAUAGGUAAAGAGCUCUUGAAACAUUGUUGAAACCUCUAUACCAUAUGAAAAAUAUUGCCCACACUUGAAAGGAAUUAAUGGAAAAAAUAAAACCUCUCUAACCAUAUGAACAUAUGAGUCCUUCCUUUUGACCUUUGAGAGUGCAUUUGGCUCACUAAGUAGGUUUUGGUGUUGAUGACAUGCAAAAUUAAUGAGCUAAUAAAUUUAUCGAGUUAUGGACAAAUUAAAAUUCAAUGAAAUAAAAAGAGCAAGAAAAGACGCCAAAUCUUCUUAAAGAACGGUGUUGGGCUUAAAAGAAGAUCUUUUAAUACUUUCUAUUUUGAACUUGAGUAUAGGAAACACCAUACCGAGGGAUGCGAAUGGAUAGUAUGAAGGUGUCAAAGUGCUUAUUUGAGAUGCUAACUAUCAAGGAGAGAUAUAGAAUCACACACUUGUGCAUCUAGUUUUCUGACUGUUUCAGUGUGUAUCGGAAGUUCCUAACUUUCGACAUGUGGUUCUUGGCAUAGCUGAUUUUAGCUAGGUUGGAAGUUCCCUGUAGCUUCCGACAAGGGGUUCUCGGCCAGCUAAUUUUAGCUAGGUCAGAAGUUCUGAUCCUGUGUGAAAAAUUCUGACAAUCACUUAUUCUGCACACUAAUGGCUAGGUUUUGGAGCUCAGGUAUUUAUACCCCUUAGCCCCUACUUUAUUUGCUGCUGACCUAACCCAAGAUAAACACAUCCAAGAACAUUUACUACUCCUCCCCGAUCCCUUUUUGAGCUAAUUCUUUAGUUGAUUUUAGUUGAUUUGAGUUAGGGCUUGUGAGAGCAAAAUUGAGGUGUGAGACUUAACCGUUUAAGUGAGAGGGCAACCAAGUUUAUCUCAAGAGCACUUGAAGCAUUCUCAUCCUUCGAUUCGCAUUUGUUACUCUUAAAGCUUGCUUCUAGACGGUUUGGUGUCGCCUUGUUGAGCGUCCUCUCGUGUGUGUGCGUCCCGGGAAGUUUGUAUUACCCAUCCUUUGUGGAUUUCAUAGCAAGUGACUCGAUCCUCCUUUAUCCUUUGUGGAUUUGAUAGCAAGUGACUCGAUCCUCCUUUAUGAUUGAUUGAGUGAGGUAAAGGAUUAUGGAAGACCCGGCUCUUUGUGAGCUCCUCAACGGAGACGUAGCUUGCUUAGUGGGAGUAAACUUCGAGAACAAGUCUCUUGUGUCCUGUGCUUAUUAUUUUCAUUUAGUUCUUGUUGAUCUAGAGUUUGUUUUGUGCCGAUCUACGUACUCGAGUUGUUGUGCUUGCAAAAACCAUCUGCAGAAGUCUUCUAGUACCAUUGCACAACUUUUGAUUCAGUCAGGUUCUGCAGUUUCAAGUUUAAUUUUGAAUUUCGUAUAAGAACUUUCCUUUUGUCAGAAGUUCCGGUCCAGUGUCGGAAGUUCCGACAGAUUUAAUUGUUGCAAAGAAUUUUUCAGGUUUUACAGUUACGCCUGUUCACCCCCUCCAGGCAUCAUCAAGAUCUUUUCAACCUUUUUAUCUUUACUGUACAUGAUUUUGACUAUAACCUCCAGCAGACAAAAACGUACACUGCAAUACGGUAAAUGAAGACCAUUCCUACUUCAAGUGUGAAAGCAUUGAAAAAAUUUGUGCUCUCUCCUGUAUAAGCUCUACUGAACAAGAAUCUAGACCCUUUGUUGCAAUAGAAUGCAGCUUCGGUAGCCCCUACUCAAAUAUAAACACACAUGAAAAAUAUAUCCAUUCUGAUUCCACCGAUAAAAUAGUAGCCGAUAAUGUCAGUAAAUAGCAGUCCUACUCAAGUGUGGAAGCAUUGAAAACAUCUAUCUUCUUUCCUCUGCAAAUUCUCUUGAAGAAGUAUCUAGGUUCUCUGGUUUACCAGAACACAUCCUGACCUUGCACAUGUCAUACAUUUUAAUUCUAGGCCAGACGGAUACAAGUGGUCUUGCAGCUUUUUUUACAUGUAUCAAGCUGGAGAGCUCCUAUUUGAAAGGAAAAUCUUCAUUACCCUUACCUCAGAUAUCUACACUUCUUUUGGGAAGAAGACGCGUCCCUCCCAAGUCACGUAUAGCUAGAUUACACCACAACGCAGCUAAACAUAUGUACAUUAUUAGCACUUAACCUUAUACUAUGUAAUGUUACAUCACCUUAGUAAGAUGUCCUGCAUUUUGCUGUAACCUUCCUAACUAAUGUAAAUAUACUAUUUUUAUAA
Molecule: long non-coding RNA, 3871 nt
Organism: Panicum hallii
Lineage: Eukaryota; Viridiplantae; Streptophyta; Magnoliopsida; Poales; Poaceae
Exons: 2
Source: RefSeq, a predicted model, not a curated record